Molecule: non-coding RNA, 133 nt
Filed under: uncultured eukaryote
Lineage: Eukaryota
Source: RNAcentral
AUAAAAGAAAAACGGUAAAGGUAGAAGUAGAAGAGGCAGAGACGGUCUUAUUUCUUCGAAUUACUCAGAUAUUUUGUAAACAUCAGGUUACCCCUUAUUAUUUUCUUCUUUUUCUUACCCUUAAUUACCGUUA